RNAcentral lists this ribosomal RNA (487 nucleotides) under uncultured Sphingobacteriales bacterium. RNAcentral describes it as "bacterial SSU rRNA". It matches the Rfam family "Bacterial small subunit ribosomal RNA", at positions 892 to 1382 of the family's 1533-position model. Lineage: Bacteria; Pseudomonadati; Bacteroidota; Sphingobacteriia; Sphingobacteriales. The record is from RNAcentral.
GCUCAGAACUCAAAGGAAUUGACGGGGCCCGCACAAGCGGUGGAGCAUGUGGUUUAAUUCGAUGAUACGCGAGGAACCUUACCUGGGCUCAAAUGUAUGUUGACGUAUUCUGAAAGGGAUACUUCUUCGGACAAUAUACAAGGUGCUGCAUGGUUGUCGUCAGCUCGUGCCGUGAGGUGUCGGGUUAAGUCCCAUAACGAGCGCAACCCCUAUCAUUAGUUGCCAUCAGGUUAAGCUGGGGACUCUAAAGGAACUGCCUACGCAAGUAGUGAGGAAGGCGGGGAUGACGUCAAAUCAGCACGGCCCUUACGUCCAGGGCUACACACGUGCUACAAUGGCCGAUACAGAGGGCAGCUACCUGGUGACAGGAUGCAAAUCUCCAAAGUCGGUCUCAGUUCGGAUCGGAGUCUGCAACCCGACUCCGUGAAGUUGGAUUCGCUAGUAAUCGCGCAUCAGCCAUGGCGCGGUGAAUACGUUCCCGGGCCUU